AUUGAACGCUGGCGGCAUGCUUUACACAUGCAAGUCGGACGGCAGCACAGAGAAGCUUGCUUCUUGGGUGGCGAGUGGCGAACGGGUGAGUAAUAUAUCGGAACGUACCGAGUAAUGGGGGAUAACUAAUCGAAAGAUUAGCUAAUACCGCAUAUUCUCUGAGGAGGAAAGCAGGGGACCUUCGGGCCUUGCGUUAUUCGAGCGGCCGAUAUCUGAUUAGCUAGUUGGUGGGGUAAAGGCCUACCAAGGCGACGAUCAGUAGCGGGUCUGAGAGGAUGAUCCGCCACACUGGGACUGAGACACGGCCCAGACUCCUACGGGAGGCAGCAGUGGGGAAUUUUGGACAAUGGGCGCAAGCCUGAUCCAGCCAUGCCGCAUGUCUGAAGAAGGCCUUCGGGUUGUAAAGGACUUUUGUCAGGGAAGAAAAGGCUGUUGCUAAUACCGACAGCUGAUGACGGUACCUGAAGAAUAAGCACCGGCUAACUACGUG
Molecule: ribosomal RNA, 490 nt
Filed under: uncultured bacterium
Lineage: Bacteria
Description: partial 16S ribosomal RNA
Rfam family: Bacterial small subunit ribosomal RNA
Source: RNAcentral